Molecule: ribosomal RNA, 468 nt
Filed under: uncultured bacterium
Lineage: Bacteria
Description: partial 16S ribosomal RNA
Rfam family: Bacterial small subunit ribosomal RNA
Source: RNAcentral
GACGAACGCUGGCGGCGUGCUUAACACAUGCAAGUCGAACGGAAAGGCCCUGCUUUUGUGGGGUGCUCGAUUGGCGAACGGGGGAGUAACACGUGAGUAACCUCCCCUUGACUUUGGGAUAACUUCAGGAAACUGGGGCUAAUACCGGAUAGGAGCUCCUGCUGCAUGGUGGGGGUUGGAAAGUUUCGGCGGUUGUGGAUGGACUCGCGGCUUAUCAGCUUGUUUGUGGGGUAGUGGCUUACCAAGGCUUUGACGGGUAGCCGGCCUGGGAGGGUGACCGGGCACAUUGGGACUACGAUAGGGAGCAGACGGCUACGGGACGCAGUGGUGGGAAAUCUUGCACAAUGGGCCCAAGUCUGAUGUAGAAACGCUGCGUGCGGGAUGCCGGCCUUCGGGUUGUAAACAGAUUUCGACUGUGACGAAGCGUGAGUGACGGUAACGGGUAAAGAAGCACCGGCUAACUACGUG